AUCAAACCCAACCACACUCAUUUCAGUUCCCCCAAAACAUAUAUCCUAGAGUAGACAAAUACAACACAACCCCACAAAUAAAUAACUAAAGUCAAUCCAGUUCUUCUCCUUGCUUCCCAAUUAAUCACUCAAGUACUAGCUGCCAAAUCCUUCAUAAUUCCUUCUAUACAUUCAUCGCCCAAAGCUAAUUUAUGGACACUACAGCUGAUCAGAAUCUAGAGAAUUGAAAAUAGAACCCUAGGAUUGAGAAAGAAAGUGAAGCGGCG
This 266-nucleotide unclassified non-coding RNA is filed under the name Hevea brasiliensis (rubber tree). The record is from RNAcentral. Lineage: Eukaryota; Viridiplantae; Streptophyta; Magnoliopsida; Malpighiales; Euphorbiaceae.